AUACGGAGGGUGCAAGCGUUAUUCGGAAUCACUGGGCGUAAAGGACGCGUAGGCGGGAUAGUAAGUCUGAUGUGAAAUCCUAUGGCUCAACCAUAGAACUGCAUUGGAAACUACUGACCUAGAGUAUGGGAGGGGGAGAUGGAAUUAGUGGUGUAGGGGUAAAAUCCGUAGAUAUCACUAGGAAUACCGAAAGCGAAGGCGAUCUCCUGGAACAAUACUGACGCUAAGGCGUGAAAGCGUGGGGAGCAAACGGGAUUAGAAACCCUAGUAGUCC
Molecule: ribosomal RNA, 274 nt
Filed under: uncultured bacterium
Lineage: Bacteria
Description: partial 16S ribosomal RNA
Rfam family: Bacterial small subunit ribosomal RNA
Source: RNAcentral